This 75-nucleotide transfer RNA is filed under the name Candidatus Acetothermia bacterium. RNAcentral describes it as "tRNA-Gln". It matches the Rfam family "tRNA". From Rfam's summary of the family: Transfer RNA (tRNA) molecules are approximately 80 nucleotides in length. Their secondary structure includes four short double-helical elements and three loops (D, anti-codon, and T loops). Further hydrogen bonds mediate the characteristic L-shaped molecular structure. tRNAs have two regions of fundamental functional importance: the anti-codon, which is responsible for specific mRNA codon recognition, and the 3' end, to which the tRNAs corresponding amino acid is attached (by aminoacyl-tRNA synthetases). tRNAs cope with the degeneracy of the genetic code in two manners: having more than one tRNA (with a specific anti-codon) for a particular amino acid; and 'wobble' base-pairing, i.e. permitting non-standard base-pairing at the 3rd anti-codon position. RNAcentral also lists the same sequence under 1 other name. The record is from RNAcentral. Lineage: Bacteria; Candidatus Bipolaricaulota.
UAGGGCGUAGCCAAGCGGUAAGGCAGCGGCCUUUGGAGCCGCCAUUCGGAGGUUCGAAUCCUCCCGCCCUAGCCA